AUCUCCGCUCGCCUAAAAACUUCAACAUUGAAGUUAACAAUGGUCCAUUGGCGAGAAGGUUAGACAGAAUGGGGAUGUUAAUGUUGAAAAUACUGAAGUAACAGGUAAUCAGGGUAAAUAUAAUGAAUGCUUUAGAGCUUAAUAGAUGGGAACUCUUGCUUAUGAUCCAACUUCAAUAUCUUGUUCCCUUUCUUGCAGCUAUUUCCUAACGGACGAGUUUUUCUACCAUUUUCUUCCAUAAUUUUUCAAUAUGAACUUGCUGUAGCAUGAUAAUCUGAACUCUAUUUUUUGGUAAUUUUUGAAUCUUAAUGACAACCUUAAGUGACUUAAUUGUUCCAGCACUGGGCCAUAUGGAUGUAAGAUUAUGCCUAUUAAGGAUAAAGUGGUUGUGCUAGAGGAAUCCCUUGCAAGGAUAGUGGUCCAGUUUUGUUUUGGAGGGUUGAGAGAGAGAGAGAGAGAGAGAGAGGAGAGACCUAAUAUAAGAUAGAGAUAGGUUAUAAUAGCUGAUUUAGCAACUUGUUUUUUGACAAUUAAUAUUACUCUCGACAAGAAUAGUGACAAAGGAUCUGCGAACGUGGUCUAAAGAGAGAUGGUAGGGCUUGGUUGCUUAUGUUAAUCAAAUCCGAAGAUUUGGAUAAUUACUUUUAGGAAUUUAACAGAAUGACUGCAUAAAGAGAAAUAUGAACCUGCUCGAUCUAUCAGGAUCUAUUGUUAAUUGGUAAACCAAAGAACUUUUUUUUUCUCUUACAGGGUUUUAGGUUGUCCUAGUCUCAUAGUUUUGGAAAAAUACAAAUCCUGACUGCUGUGUGGAAUCUAUAUCUCCAAAAUGAUAUCUGUUACGGGGGAACUUAGCC
Molecule: long non-coding RNA, 854 nt
Filed under: Phoenix dactylifera (date palm)
Lineage: Eukaryota; Viridiplantae; Streptophyta; Magnoliopsida; Arecales; Arecaceae
Description: long non-coding RNA (PDAC_LNC001745)
Source: RNAcentral